Molecule: ribosomal RNA, 472 nt
Filed under: uncultured Bacteroidota bacterium
Lineage: Bacteria; Pseudomonadati; Bacteroidota
Description: bacterial SSU rRNA
Rfam family: Bacterial small subunit ribosomal RNA
Source: RNAcentral
UGAGGAAUAUUGGUCAAUGGGCGAGAGCCUGAACCAGCCAUCCCGCGUGCAGGAAGACGGCCCUAUGGGUUGUAAACUGCUUUUUUAUGGGAAGAAAAGCUCUACGUGUAGGGCACUGACGGUACCAUAUGAAUAAGCAUCGGCUAACUCCGUGCCAGCAGCCGCGGUAAUACGGAGGAUGCAAGCGUUAUCCGGAUUUAUUAGGUUUAAAGGGUGUGUAGGCGGAGAUUAAGUCAGUGGUGAAAUCUCACAGCUUAACUGUGAAACUGCCAUUGAUACUGGUUUUCUUGAGUAUAGUUGAAGUAGGCGGAAUGUGUAAUGUAGCGGUGAAAUGCUUAGAUAUUACACAGAACACCGAUUGCGAAGGCAGCUUACUAAGCUAUUACUGACGCUGAUGCACGAAAGCGUGGGGAGCGAACAGGAUUAGAUACCCUGGUAGUCCACGCUGUAAACGAUGAUUACUCGUUGUUGG